Molecule: long non-coding RNA, 790 nt
Organism: Gorilla gorilla gorilla (western lowland gorilla)
Lineage: Eukaryota; Metazoa; Chordata; Mammalia; Primates; Hominidae
Exons: 2
Source: RefSeq, a predicted model, not a curated record
GUAGUCUCAGUAACAGAUUUGAAAUCAUACAAGAACAAGAAAAAAAGAGAAUAACUACUGGAGAAUAUAUUGUCCCAACUAAUUAAUUUUACUAACUGAUUCCUUUAAACAAUGGAUACUUAUUAUCCAUUAGGCAUGGUGCAGAGGGCAGAAAGAAGACAAAGAACGAAGAUAAAAGAAGCCUUUUUCCUCAAGAAGAUUGUAAUCUAGUGGUGGAGCUGGAAAAUAAAGGAAAGCAGUGGCCAUGUAUGUCAUGAGGACAUUCCAGUAACCCUAUGUGGUAAGGAACCGAAUCAGCCUGCCAACAACCACUGAAAAACUGAGCCCUCCUGCUGACAGCCAUGUGAGAGGAACACCUUGGAAGUGGAUCCUCCAGGCCUGGUCAUACUUCAGAUGACUGCAGCCCAAGCCAACAUCUUGCUUGAGUGGAGCCUCAUGAGUGACUCAGUCAAAACCACACAGCUGAGAUAUUUCCAACCCACAGAUACUGAGAUAAUAAAUGUUUAUUGCUACUAGGUUUCCUUCCUUCCUUCCUUCCUUCCUUUCUUUUCUCUCCUCUUCUCCUUCCUUCCUUCCUUCCUCCCUCCCUCUCCUCCUCCUCCAUCUUCUUCCUCUUCCUCUUCUUCCUCUUCCCCUUCCCCUUCCCCUUCCUCUUCCUCCUUCUUUCUUACUUUCUUUCUCUUUCUUUCUUUCUUUCUUUCUCUAUGAAAAUAUCAGGUGUACUAUAUUUUACCUGCCUUCAUGUAUAUUUGAAUAAUUCCAUAAUAAAACUUUUUAAAAUUCUCUUGUA